RNAcentral lists this ribosomal RNA (178 nucleotides) under Tricholomataceae sp. RNAcentral's name for it is "partial large subunit ribosomal RNA". The record is from RNAcentral. Lineage: Eukaryota; Fungi; Basidiomycota; Agaricomycetes; Agaricales; Tricholomataceae.
AAACGCUUGAAGUCAGUCGCGACGUUCGGGACUCAGCCUUGCUUCUGCUUGGUGUACUUCCUGUUCGUUGGGUCAGCAUCAGUUUUGGUCGGUGGAAAAAGGUGUGGAGAACGUGGCAUCUUCGGGUGUGUUAUAGCUCUGCAUUGGAUACGCCGGCUGGGACUGAGGAACUCAGCAC